RNAcentral lists this long non-coding RNA (212 nucleotides) under Prunus dulcis (almond). RNAcentral describes it as "sRNA ncRNA". The record is from RNAcentral. Lineage: Eukaryota; Viridiplantae; Streptophyta; Magnoliopsida; Rosales; Rosaceae.
GGAAUAUUGUUUUUACAGGUGCUUUUAUUGUGGCCUGCGGAACCGCACCUUGAGCACUUUCUUCUAAUGCUGCCCUCUCCUUGCGAGGGAAUUCUUAACUUCUUUCGUCUGCCUGGCAUGACCCUUGCCAUGGGAGGCAGCACAACUCGACUUCGAACAUCUUCAGGAGUAUCCCACAUUCCGUGAGGUUGUACCGGGUAGAUGCUAUCCGA